Molecule: transfer RNA, 66 nt
Filed under: Diptera sp. 69 LC-2017
Lineage: Eukaryota; Metazoa; Arthropoda; Insecta; Diptera
Description: tRNA-Phe
Source: RNAcentral
AUUUAAAUAGCUUAAAUUAAGAGUAUAAUAUUGAAGAUAUUAGGGUAAUUUAUAAAUUUUUAAAUA